RNAcentral lists this ribosomal RNA (200 nucleotides) under uncultured bacterium. Its description in RNAcentral is "partial 16S ribosomal RNA". It matches the Rfam family "Bacterial small subunit ribosomal RNA", at positions 8 to 210 of the family's 1533-position model. The record is from RNAcentral.
AGAGUUUAAUCAUGGCUCAGGACGAACGCUGGCGGCGUGCUUAACACAUGCAAGUCGAGCGGAAAGGCCCUUCGGGGUACUCGAGCGGCGAACGGGUGAGUAACACGUGAGCAACCUGCCCUUGGCUCUGGGAUAGCCUCCGGAAACGGGGAUUAAUACCGGACAUGACCUGCCUCUGCAUGGGGGUGGGUGGAAAGUUU